AACGAACGCUGGCGGCAGGCCUAACACAUGCAAGUCGAGCGGACCCUUCGGGGUUAGCGGCGGACGGGUGAGUAACGCGUGGGAAUAUGCCCUUCUCUACGGAAUAGUCCUGGGAAACUGGGGGUAAUACCGUAUACGCCCUUUGGGGGAAAGAUUUAUCGGGGAAGGAUUAGCCCGCGUUGGAUUAGGUAGUUGGUGGGGUAAUGGCCUACCAAGCCGACGAUCCAUAGCUGGUUUAAGAGGAUGAUCAGCCACACUGGGACUGAGACACGGCCCAGACUCCUACGGGAGGCAGCAGUGGGGAAUCUUAGACAAUGGGGGCAACCCUGAUCUAGCCAUGCCGCGUGAGUGAUGAAGGCCUUAGGGUUGUAAAGCUCUUUCAGCUGGGAAGAUAAUGACGGUACCAGCAGAAGAAGCCCCGGCUAACUCCGUG
This 433-nucleotide ribosomal RNA is filed under the name uncultured bacterium. RNAcentral's name for it is "partial 16S ribosomal RNA". It matches the Rfam family "Bacterial small subunit ribosomal RNA", at positions 29 to 507 of the family's 1533-position model. The record is from RNAcentral.